Delphinapterus leucas (beluga whale) is the source of this 9078-nucleotide non-coding RNA. The record is from RefSeq and is a predicted model, not a curated record. Lineage: Eukaryota; Metazoa; Chordata; Mammalia; Artiodactyla; Monodontidae.
GGUGGUGACGGUGGUGACGCUGGUGGUGGUGGGGAUACUGGUAAUGAUGAUAAAGAUAACGGUGAUGGUGGUGGUGAUGUUUUCACGACCUCCAAUUCUCUCCUUCAGGGAACGCUCCUGUUUUCUGCCUCCCCUGCUGUGACACAGAACUUCACAGAUGUGAUGAUCUCUGGGUGGGUGGCGGGUACGGGACUGUGGGUGAGAGGAGAGCUCUCAAAGGCAGGAACAGACCCGUGUCCUGAAUGAUGUCAGCUACAUCACCUCGCCUCCUGGCCUCCGGUUUCUCCAUCUGUGAAACAGUGAGGUUGAACGGGGUGAUUCCUAAAGGGUCCUUCUGGGUUUAAGGUUUUCUGACGCGGUUUUUGUUUUACAGCAAGUGGUUUUGCAAGGAUCCCUCUUCCUCCUUCAGAUAUUUAUCUUUUCUGCCAUCGUUUCAACAAAGCCUGUCUUGGUGGUGCCUUUACCUGGACAUCCAGCAACAAGCAGGCAUUUGACAUGCAGAGAUACAUACACACAGGGUUACUUCUGUGUGUGAGAGAGCGUGUGUGUGUGUGUGAGUGCACGCACACCCAGCAGACCCCCGACAUCCCAGAAUGCAGACAUCAAUGCCUCCAAGACCCACAAAUUCAGCACAGCUAAGUCACUGACUUCACGGAGAACAAACAAUCAAGCUCCAGCGCGGCUCCUGGGUGGCUGGCUAGGUUCAUCCCCAGCGCGGCUCCUGGGUGGCUGGCUAGGUUCAUCCAAAGUUACGUAUCCCGGGGAGGGCGGGGACAGGAGCACCGCACCCCCAAGGCCACACCCACUCCAGUGCACCUGUGAAUGCCAGUCGCUGGAGAGACGUGACUUUCCAGCACAGACCUAGGGGACUGGACCGGAGCUCUGCUUCCAGGAAGCGUGGCUGGAGACCUUGAGCGAGUCACCUCUCUGCGUGGAGCUCAGGUCCCCUCCUGCUCCCUGCGGGGAUGGUCGGUCCUGCCCGGCCUCUCUCGAGAUUAUCGUGAGGACUGAACCGCUGGACAUGCACCAAACCCUCCGUGCACUGUCGGGUCCCGUGUGAGCAUGGGGCGGAUUUUCCAGGCGUGUGGCUGCACGCAUUUUAGGAUAAGUGAGCACCUGCGACCCCAGACCUCCUCCCAGGGCUGUGCCAGGGAUGCAGGAUGUCAUGCUGCUCAGUGCCCAGCUCACAGCAAGAGCUUCGAAAACUAAUCUCCUUCUCCCCCUUCCACUCCCUCUUCCUCUCCCCCUCCCUCUUCAUUAUAAUCAUUAUUACUAAUUGUUAUUCUACACAAAGCAAAGACACGCUUUAGUUAGAAAACACGGAAAGGGACCAGUGAUGUCUUCAAAUGGACACCACCAGCUCUUAGCUCGCUCCAGAGCAGACGCUUCUAAAACAGCCUACAGGUGGUGGGGGGGUCUGAGGCCCCCGCCGGCACCGUCCUUGCUGUACUGGGGCUGAGGGGCUACGGCUGCCGUGUGGCUGUCCCCUAGGGAAGCUUGUCUAGUCCCCGUCCUGUCUUCCUGUGGCCAGGGCCUCCUGUGAGCUGCCUGCUGAAGGGGAGACUAAAUGUUUGAACAUAUGCAGACACGCGUGAUGGAGGGGCCGCAGGACCUGGGAGCUGGAAGCCGGGGGCACCGGGAUGAGCAGAGCCCCGCUCGGAGCAGCUCGUAAGAGAUCUCUGCAGGGAGACGCCUCUUUCAUUCACCAAGAGAAAAGCAAAGUGUAGCGGAGUGAGCUGUGUCCCCCUAAAAGAUAUGCUCAAGUUCUCACUACCAUUGCCUGUGAAUGGGCCUUAUUUGGAAACAGGGUCUUUGCAGAUGUCAUCAACUUAAGAUGAGAUCAUGCUGGACUAGGGUGGUGAUUCCAAUAGCUGGGGUCUUUAUGAAAAGAGGGGGAUUUGGACAGACUCAGGAAAAAGGGCCAUGUGAUCGUGGAGCCCCCUGGAGCUGGAGGAGGCAGGAGGGACCCCCCAGAGCCUCUGGAGUGAGCAUGGCCGCACGACACCUGGAUCUGGGGCAUCUGGCCCCAGAACUGUGAGAGGAUACAUGUCUGUUGCUUUAACCCACCUGGUCUGUGGUGAUUUGUUAUGGCUGCCCUGGAAAACGCAGGCACCACCCGGGGAACCAAGAAACAGGCGGCUUGAGGAAGAAAUACCACGGCCGAUGCACAGGACACGCUGCUUCCGUGAAGCGUGGACACGUCAGUGAUGUGACACUGUGCUGUUUUUCUUCAGCAAAUUGUCAAAGAUUUAAAACACAUAGACUCUGCGAGUCUGGCCAGGGCAUGCGACAAGGAUAACUCACAGGGCUGUUUCCCAGAGCCUUCUUGCCUUUCGUGAGUUCAUCCUGGAAGCAGUCAGACCAGGUGAGGUGUGUCCUCCCCCCACCUCGUGAUGUCUAAGGUGGACGUGAUCUACAUAAAAGCCGCGAUAGAGCCUGACGCCAGAAAGCACUGGAAUCCCGCGUCCGCUGCCCAGGAAACUGUUCCUUCUGUGUCAGCGUGAAAAGCCACUUACAAGAGAUGUCGGUGCUAAUUUUAUGAAAAAGCAACGAGACCUGUGUGCUCGGGGCACGGGAGCCUGCCGAGUCAGCAGUGGGCACUCCCUGGGUUGCAGAGUCAAGCGGAAUUUUGAAAUUUCCCUGUUUGCGUUUUGCUGUAGUUUCCAAACUUUGUGUAAAAAACAGGUAUUAUGUUUGAAACAGGAAAACAAUGCAAUUAAAAGCAGUGGUCUUGGCCCAAGAGCUCAAAGCCACCGCCUGCUGGCCUGCUGGGGCUCAAGUUGGUGGCGGGGGCGGGGGUGUCCCCGGGGCGGGACCGGACGGAGCAGACAGCUGUGGUUUCUGAGGCCGCGGCGGGGGCAGCUUGUUGUGACUGUUCUGAAGUCCCUGAGGCUCGGGUCGAUGGUCCGGCGGUGGCUUCCGUGACUGCGCAGCCCUCACCGCCCCCCCCCCAGCCCUGUGACAGCCUGCUUUGUCAUCUGAGAGACGGGGUGGUGGGACAGUGUCACCCCAUGGAACUGUCACGAGAAUGCCCAUGUGCUCUGGGAGCGCUAUGUGAACUGAGCACCCUGCCACCAGAUGAGGGGCUGGGCCCAGAGAUGCCAAGUGAUUCACCUCAGGUCACACAGCAAUGGGCUGUGGGCCAACAUUAAACCCUACUUUGUCCGACCUCAAUUCCCACGUUCUUUCCACAUGGAGAAGUGGGAGAGGAGGCCUCACAGGUCCAGGUGUGGAUGGGCGGCCCCCUGGACCUGCUGCACCGACCUCAGGCUGAUUUGGAGCACCCACAAGGACCAGCUCGGCCCUGCCUACAGGCCGACGGCAUGGAGGGGCCCAGGGAAGAAGCAAGCAGGCCUGAUCCCAAGGGCUGGAUCUGCACGUCAUUUGCAUGCCAGACUGGACGUGGUCCCCCGACGGUGGGUGCAGGGCAUGGCCUGGGAGGUGGGCUCCUGUGUGAAACGGCCAGGGAGGGACUCCUGAGGUCAGCUGACGUGCGGCCAGAGCCUGUGUGGGGCUCAGUGUCACCGGCUCAGUGUUGGCUCCUGGACACUUGUUACCAGCCUGGGGUCAGCCGGACUGGGUCCUCCUGGAGGAAGUGCCACUGAGGCCAGGGGGGCAGGGUGACUUGUCUGAGGGUGCCCAGCAGGAAGUGGCCCCUGCUCCAGGACAGACCGUGGGGCUGGACCUACCUCCAGGGAGGGCUUAUUCCCCGGAGGGGGAGGGGGAGUCCCUGGCCAGAGAGUUCCCUGAGGCUGGGCCACUCCCCACUCCCCUCAGAGGAGGAGAACGAUGGGGCCAGGCCCUCAGGUUCAACAAGGAGCACAGCCACCGCAGAGGCCACGCUCCCCGGGCCACACGCUCCCCGGGCUGCUCCCAGCCAACGACCAAGCUCCAUCCCCGGAGAAGCAGGGCCUGACGGCAUCACAAAGCCUUCAAAGGCGAUGGCAGAGCCGUCAGGCCUCUGAGACCCGGCAGGGGACCCUGCUUUGUCUGCUGCUGGAGCGGGGCUGCGUCCAUCCCCGGGGGAGCCCUCCAGAGACUCGCAAGCACGCACGGUCGUCGUCUCCACCGUCCUCCCCUCUCCUCGGUCCAUCAAGGCCGUCAUGGGCUCCGGAGACCGACCCAGAGGCCCGGCCAUCUGUCCGAAGGCCCAGGCCCUCGACGCCAAACCCCCUUCCUGGAGCAGAGGCGGGGUGAGCGCACAGGCCUGCCUGUGUUUGAUACAAGCGCUGGAUUGUUCUCUCUGCCCUUGUCGGCUAUUAUGCGGAGGCCAGUCCUAAAAUAAUAUCACAUUUCCUCUCUCAUCAUUUGGACGGAGGAUGCGCAUCCGGGAUCGAGCUGGAUGGCGUGCUUUCAUGUGCAGGCACCGGGGGCUUCCGUGCCACCGCCCAGGGGCUCUGUGCCGGCCGCGUCCCCCGAGUCCCCAGCGUGGGAGCUGCUCUGACGGGGGCACUGCUUCUGUUUUUUCAUAAAUACGUCUCUCGGAAAGUUGGUCUCUUCACCGGAGUGUUCAGCAUUCCAGACGGGGCCCUGGACCCCAGGGGCCGGAGCCAGUGACCGGCUGGUGACGGAAGGCAGGUCUGGCUCGAGAAGGCGCCCCUGGGGGAUGGUGGUGCCUGGCACGUGCUAGGUAGUCAGCACACACUCGGGGGGACGCCAGCACAGGGAGCCCUCGCACAGGCAGCCUCCUCUCUGCAGCCACGGUCGCUUUGCUUUGCCUUCUAAGUGCGUGCUUUAGUUUAUCACAGCGCCUGGGAUGUGUGCUUCCUUCUGAGAGCCUCAGGGCCUCCCUGUGUUCCUUGCCGUGGCAAGUGUUCCGGUGCCCUCAGCGCGAGGGAAGUGGGCGGAGGCCGCUCCUCGUGGGCCUCCUGGGGGAGGGUGAAGCCCAGGCUUCCGCGCCACUCAGACCGCUUUCAAAUCCCAGCCCGUCACUAGUUCUGGUACCUUGGGCUUCAGCUCUCCUGGUGAAGCAGUUUCAAAGGCAGGACCUGGGAUGGAGACCCAGCCGUUUGCUCCCGUUGCUAGAAUCACUGUGAUGGGGCAGCUGCACCUGCAGGAAGAGGGGGGCUUAGUGCCCAGAGCAGCACUGCCCACGAGGUGUCCCAGGGGAGCACGGACUCCUGGUUAGCCGCCAGAAAGCAGAAUUAGCACCUCCUCGGAUUCAAUUAGCGGUUGUGUUCCUGGAAAGGUCGGUGCCUUAAGAUCACGCACAUUGUGAUGGAAGGAGAACAGGAGCCAGAUGAGGAGACGCCCGCAGGAUGCUCCAAAGGCAGGGGGUCCUGUGACACUUCCUCGCGUGGGCUGGCCUGUGCGUGGCUGAACGUGGAAGAGCCCGGCCCCAGGGCCAGCAGUGCCCUCCGGGCCUUGGCAACCACGGUGCUCCAGCGGUAUGGUUCCACUGUCUCUGAGAACCCCUGGCUUCGGCUUCCCGUGCAGGCCCCCCAAACCCUGCCAGGCCCUGGCUGGCGCCUGGAGACCCCCAUUACGAUGUUCCUUUAGCUGGUGCUCCAGUGGGAAACAAGCAGCCUCGUAGUUGGGACUGUGGUCAUGCCGCUGGGGACCACGGAGACCUCGGCAAGGGUGACUGGAGAAGGCGCCCACCCUCUGCCCCACUGGCCACCCCUGGGACACAGAAGUCCGCUUUGUGAAACUCCCAAACCAAACGGGGACACGUGAGGGCCAGUUUAGGUGGGCUGAGGUCGCAGGUAAGACACAUUUUCAUUCUGAAAGAAUGACAGCAGCUCCCGCAGUUUGGGGGACCCCCAAGUGGUGCCUCCAUUCCUCCCCCCGUCCCCCACAAACCUCCCUUGAGAGUUGAACACUGUCACUGGGGUGUCGGCCGUUCGGUGUGUCCUUCUGAAUUGUCACAGCCCCUCUGAGGUCUAUGAGCCCCAGGCAGAGACAGUCCCGUGUGGUCUGCAGGGGCCGAGGGCCCCAAGCAAAGGAGAGUUUGCUUUCACUCUGAGCACAAAACCCCAGUGAUGGUUCCUACUUGAGUGCAAAAAGGCCAGGCAAGCCUGGGACAACUUCAGCAACAAAAUUAAUAAUGACAGUCACGGAGUAAUAACCAGGAAUUACAGUAAUAAUGACAGUAAUAACCAAUAGAAUAAAACAAUGUCCGUGAGCCCAUAAUGGUUCAGAGCAUUGCUUCAGUCCCUGCGUGCGGGAGGGCAGACCUCGUCCAGCACAGCCCGGGUAGUCGGUGCAGGGGAGUGUUCAUGCCUCAAACGUGGCAGGACGAGCCGCCACGACAAGGACCAUCGACGGAUGCUAAAAUCAGCACACCAGAGCUCCACGGGAAAGAGGAUGUUUACAUAGUCACAUAAGACGCUCCAUAAUUACAAGGAGAAAAGGAGUAGCUUACAGCGCAGCCACGCGGUACCACUUAACCAAGUGAUGGACGUUACCACGGCUGGGAGUGGGACCCAGAGGCACAGGUGACCCCAGGCUCACGCUCCAAGAAGGACACGACGUCACUUCUGUGGGAUUCCCGCCAAAAUACACAACCACUGUGUCAUGGUGAAAAAUGUCACACAAAUGCAAACUGAGGUACGUUUUCAAAAUAACUGGCCAGUACUCCCUUUCCAAAAGUGUCAAGGUCACGGGCGACUGAGGAACGAUCCCGGAUGGGAAGAGACUAAGGGGCCACGACCAACCAAUGCCGUGUGGGACCCUGGCUGGACCCUCAACCAGAGAAAGGAGGUCACGGGUCAGCUGGUGAGGUUCCGCUGUGGCUGGAGGGUGAUGGAUUGCCGUGAAUCAACAUGAAUUGUCCCGCUCUACGUCGCAAGCCAGUAUCAGGAGAGCCCGGGGGAGGUAUCCGAACUCUGUGCUAGUUUUGCAGUUAAAAUGGUUUCAAAAUAAAUAAGUGAACGAGAAGGCCAGGGUCAAACACCUCAUAGCCUCUGGCUGGAAACUCCUAGGUCUUCCGGAGCAUGGCUCUGGCUCCUGCAUGGAUGCCUCCACCGUCCCGGCCACGGCCUCUGAAUGGACUCCAGGUGGCAACAUCUGUCCUCAAGGCAGUGUAGACACGGGGGGACUGGGGCCAGGGGGCGGAGAGCUGACCUCCCCCAUCCCCAGCCCUCUGUGAUUCUCUUACUGGAGCAGCUCCGGUAAACUUGUAAAUAGGAUGAGUCCCUGCCCCAGCCCCCGCCCCUAGCCCUAACCCUCUCCCCCUGGGGCCCCUGGGGAAAGGCCCUGUGGAGAGCGGAAUAAUGAAUCCCAAAGACGUCCACACGCUGACCCAGAGCCCGUGAAUGUUACCCUGCACGGCAGAGUCCCUGUGCAGAGGUGGAUAAGUUAACGACCCUGAGAUGGGAGAUGACCCCUGUCACCACGAGGGUCCAGGUAAGAGGGAGACAGGACGGUCUGAGUCCGUGAGAGGUCUGAAGACUCUACAGGGCUGGUUUGGAAGGUAGGGGAAGGGGCCAAGAGCUGAGAAACGCAGGUUCCUCCAGAAGCUGGAACAGGCAGGAGACAGACUCACUCCUGGAGCCUCGAGGGCGUGUCGUUCUGCCGACACCUUGAUUUUAGCCCAGUGAAAUUUCUGACCUCCAAAACAGUAAGGUAAGAAACGCGUGGGGCUUGAAGCCACUCAUUUUGUGGUCACUUGUUGUGGCAGCCACAGGACACGCGUGCACUGAGUGAGGCGGUAGUGAUGACAAUGAAUUAGGUCAUCUUGAGUGUAAACCAUGUGCCCAGCUGUUGUGCUUUAUACACGGUAGCACCUGAAUCCCCACAAGAGUGCCCAGAUAGUCGGAUCUGUCCCCACCCCAGAGAUACGGCAGCCUGGGAGUAGCGACGUAAAGUCAGCGCCCAUGGUGACCAGAUGCAGGCAGAAUAGGGGGGAGAUGGGAUUUGGACCAGGAACCUGAAUGCUCUCCUUCUGAUGACUUGUGAGAUGGCACCCCCUCUGCUCUGAUAAGUCAAAUGGGACCCUCGGUCCCCCUCACUUGCCCCCAUCGCAGCUCCUGUUUGCCAAGGAUGGUGGAGGACAUUCAUGACCGAGCUCAGCCCCCAGGCCAAUCCAGUCCCAGGGAGUUGACUUCUCACGGCCAGGACCCUCUGGUGGCAAGUGACAGAAAACCUGGCCCACAUGGACCAAAGCUAGAAAGGGAGUGUUUGGCUCACGUACGGGAAAGACCAGUGGCAGCCCUGGCCCCCUGCUGGCUGCUUUCUCCCAUGGGGCAGCCUCAAGCCAUCCUGGUCCAGCAGCAAAUGGUCCCUCCUGACAGCCCAGAGUACGUGGUCACAGCCUCUGGAGGGCCACAGUGGCCGGGGGACGGAUGCUCUGAUCCCUGGAGCUGUGGAUGGAGACAACACCGGCCUGAAGCCCAGCAGGUAGGGAGAGUGACAUAAACCAGAGAAGGAGGGAGACAAUGUUGAGGGUUAAAAACUCAGCAAAUACAGCACCUCGGCCUAGCUUCCACUCUGCAGGUAAAAGAAGUGGAGUCUGGAUCUGCCUGAGAUUACGUGGCAAAUACUCAGCAGGGCUGGGACUCUGCUCAGAGAUUCCCAACAGUGCCAUUUGAGUGUCUCCACAUACAACUGGAAAAUGAAAUUUAGAACUCAAUACCAUCUGAAACAUCACAAAACAGCAACUACCUAGGAAUAAACUCAUGAAAGAUAUGCCAAACCUUUGAGCAGAAAAACUGCAUCACAUCACUGAGGGAAGUUUAUUUGAGAACCGAAUAAAUGCAGGGAUACACCACAUCCACGGAUUGGGAGACUCAAUGGUUUAAAGAUGCCAGUUCAUCCCAAACUGAUCUAUGGAUUCAAUGCAAUUCCAUUCAAAGUCCCAGUAGCUUUUUUGGAGUCAAUAGGCGAAUCCUAAAAUUUAUGGGGAAACGUAAAGGAACAAAUAUAAUGGAGUCUAGAGUUUCUAAAACAUGUCACUCACAGCGUCUGGGAUACAAUCCAAAACAAACAAGAAAAUGUGACUCUUUCUCAAGGCAACCAACAGAGGCCAACCCUGAUGUGACCCAGACGUUAGACUCAGUAGACAAGGAUUUUAAAGCAUCUAUUUCAUUAGGCUCAAGGAUGUAAAGGAAAUUAUGUUUGUAAUAAGUGAAAAGACAG